UCUCUGUGGUGCUAUACAUGCAGUCGAGCGGAGUUAUGAGGAAGCUUGCUCCCGAUUAACUUAGCGGCGGACGGGUGAGUAACACGUAGGCAACCUGCCCUGUAGUCUGGGAUAACGACCGGAAACGGUAGCUAAUACCGGAUAAUUCCUUUUGCCUCCUGGCGAAAGGAUGAAAGACGGAGCAAUCUGUCACUAUGGGAUGGGCCUGCGGCGCAUUAGCUAGUUGGUGGGGUAACGGCUCACCAAGGCGACGAUGCGUAGCCGACCUGAGAGGGUGAACGGCCACACUGGGACUGAGACACGGCCCAGACUCCUACGGGAGGCAGCAGUAGGGAAUCUUCCGCAAUGGGCGAAAGCCUGACGGAGCAACGCCGCGUGAGUGAUGAAGGUUUUCGGAUCGUAAAGCUCUGUUGCCAGGGAAGAACGUCCGGUAGAGUAACUGCUGCCGGAGUGACGGUACCUGAGAAGAAAGCCCCGGCUAACUACGUGCCAGCAGCCGCGGUAAUACGUAGGGGGCAAGCGUUGUCCGGAAUUAUUGGGCGUAAAGCGCGCGCAGGCGGCUAUUUAAGUCUGGUGUUUAAACCUCGGGCUCAACCUGGGGUCGCACUGGAAACUGGAUGGCUUGAGUGCAGAAGAGGAAAGUGGAAUUCCAUGUGUAGCGGUGAAAUGCGUAGC
RNAcentral lists this ribosomal RNA (675 nucleotides) under Paenibacillus sp. RNAcentral's name for it is "bacterial SSU rRNA". It matches the Rfam family "Bacterial small subunit ribosomal RNA", at positions 37 to 694 of the family's 1533-position model. Lineage: Bacteria; Bacillati; Bacillota; Bacilli; Caryophanales; Paenibacillaceae. The record is from RNAcentral.